Molecule: ribosomal RNA, 253 nt
Filed under: uncultured bacterium
Lineage: Bacteria
Description: partial 16S ribosomal RNA
Rfam family: Bacterial small subunit ribosomal RNA
Source: RNAcentral
UACGAAGGGUGCGAGCGUUAUCCGGAUUUAUUGGGUUUAAAGGGAGCGUAGGCGGUCUUAUAAGUCAGUGGUGAAAUCUCGUUGCUUAACAACGAACGUGCCAUUGAUACUGUAGGACUUGAGUACAGUUGCCGUUGGCGGAAUGUGUCAUGUAGCGGUGAAAUGCAUAGAUAUGACACAGAACACCGAUUGCGAAGGCAGCUGACGAAACUGUAACUGACGCUGAGGCUCGAAAGCGUGGGGAUCAAACAGG